Parus major (Great Tit) is the source of this 3657-nucleotide long non-coding RNA. RefSeq lists it as uncharacterized. The transcript has 3 exons. Lineage: Eukaryota; Metazoa; Chordata; Aves; Passeriformes; Paridae. The record is from RefSeq and is a predicted model, not a curated record.
UAUUAAUAUAUAAUACAAUAGAUAUAUAAUGAUCUAAUAUUUAAUUGUAAUUUAUUAUUAUAAAUAUACUCUGCAACCUCUUACACUCCACUUUUGAGGACAAGCAAAGGAAGCGAGAUUAAUUUCUGGUAAUGAACAGAAAAGAAGCAGGAGAUGAGAAGGGUCCAGUCAAUAAUCCUUGAUGGGCUGGUAUUCUGUAAAGAUCUGUUCAAGCGUCUUUUACAAGUGAGUUAACCUGACUACACUGCUCUUUUGAACUCUAGCCUCCCACACACAGCAAAAGAAAUGGAAGAGCAGUCUCACUGAGACCAAACAGUCUUUUAGCUCAGGAUCUUCAGCAACAGGACAAAGUGAUCACAGAGAGACACAUUUCCAGGGAUAUGCUCCCAGCUGGAUGCAGAUCAGCACUGUCCUGAAUCACAGGCAUAUCACCUGUGUGCUUUGACAGAGAAAUUUCUAUGUUCGGUGACACAUUUUUAUUCCAUUUUAUUCAAUUUCACUUUGUUUUCUGAACCCAUGUAAAUGUCUGGAGCAUGCAAUAUCCUCAACCACACGACAUAGGAAGCAUCUCCUUUUGUUCUGAACCUGACAUACAUUAGCUUUGUUUGUUCCCUCUGACAUCUGGUGAGAGACAUCCUGAAACUGUUCACCUUUUUCAGUUGUGCUUAUUACAUUCAUUGCUCAGUCCUCUCAUUCCAAGGAUGGUAAGUCCAGCUUUAUUUAAUCAUUUACUUGUGCAGAAUUGCCUUUUUUUCUUUAUUUCUUUUAUUCUGCAUUGUACUGUCUGCAGUUCUAUUUAUUCAUUGUCAGGAUGGAGGGGGGACAGAACCAUAGAAGUUAAAGGUUUCUGUAGCUCUGCCUGCUUUGUUUUUUUAUUUUCCACAUAAUCACCACCAAUAUUCUGUUUCUUGGACAACCACUGAGCACAGAGGCAAUAUUUUUAUGGAAUUACCUUUUUUAAUUCCAAGAUUUUUUUUUCUUGAACGGAAAUAGAAUGUUCAAGAACUCACUGCCACUCACAUAAAGUUAGGAUAAUUUUUCCUUUUCAAUGCACUCUUCAAUAUUUCAUCUGCCAUCCAUCAUCCAGUCACUCAAUACUUUAAAUCAUAUAUUUCAAAUUAGCAUUAAAUUGAGUAAACAUCCUUCUUACCUGUUAGUGUCACUUAGUGAGCUUUCAUAACUUUGGUUAUAUUAAGCAGAAAAUAAGCUUUCAAAACAAACAACAAAUACCUUUUAGCUCAAGCAGCAUUAUUCCACCCUCCAGUAAGAGUUUACUCAGAUGAUUUAUUACUCACACACUGUUGUUACACAGAGCUCUAAUGCCUUGGUGUAUUCCAUUCUGCCUGGGUGCAAUCCAGGUAGAUUUUCCUUUCUCCCCUCCAGGUAAAUUUGUUCAGACAGGCUCAAAACAACAUUAACAACGUACUAUUUUUACACUAUCCAACAAAGCUAAGAAGCACUCACGGGAAUGAUUUCAAGUAUUUGCAGAUGCUUUGUUUUCCUUGUAAUUAAUUUGACUCUCUGCCUGCUAUACACGUCAGCAGCUGACACCAGAAGAUACAGCAAAGCAGCAGCAUGUAUAGGUAACAAAAAAAAUACAUUAGUGAAGAGAAAGGUGAGGUGAGUUAAUGGAUAGUUUUUCCUUCUGUGAUCCUCUAAAAAGAAAUAUUUACCCUUCUAGAGAAAUAAAAAGGUAUCUAAAGAUCUGUGACUGACGAGAAUUUCUACUAGUUCACUCAUGAAAUUUAAACUUUUUUUUUUACAUUUUCCCCCUGCUUUUUCCUGCCCCAAAAUCUGGGUGGAUAAGGGCUUUAUUUACUUGUUUAUUUUCUUCUCCACACCUAGGAGCUUCUGGGAAUACUGCAGGAUUUAAAGUAAUAGGACCAUGCCUAAGGUGUUGGCAGCACAAGGCCAAGCUAUGGCCCCUGGAACACAAGCUGUCAGGCUGGGCUGGUGCCACAGUCUUGCAGUGGGGUGCAGCACAGGAGCAGCUGGGCACCUGGCAGUGCACACCCUUUUUGGGCAGUUCUUAAACCACCCAAAGAAGCUACUGCAAAGCAGAAGAAGAGAACUGCAGAACAGUAAGAAACAUCAGUCAGAAAUCAGGCUUGAGCAGGUUAGGAAAGACGAUAAAUUUCAAUUCAGUGAAAAAUUAACUUGGGAAGCGGAGCACUGCUUUGCAUGCAGGAUUGGUUUAUCCAUCCAAAUAGCAAGUCAAAGUCCCAACAAAACAAACCCCUACUUGCUGUUUUUGGAUGCACAAACUGGGCACCACAUGACUGCAGCACAGCAUUCAAGAUCCCAAGUCUGGAAGCCAAUUUUAGGCAGACAGACCCUAAAAGAUGUUUCAUGAAUGUGCAAAGUCACAGGCUGAGUUUGUCCAGGCAGCUGACACAGACUGAACACAGGCACACUGUUCUCUGCCACUCCUUGCUCACCACUGCAGCACAAAGACAGGCAGAGGUGUUUAGAAAGGAGCAGUGGCCAGGCAGCACCUUCAGCUUGAUGUGCACAUGUUCUAAAAAUAUCAGUGGGCUUUUUUUUUUUUUAAUUGUACAUUCAUGCAUCACAACAUAUUUUAGUUGCUGGACAAAAGCCAAGCUGCCCUGCUGCUAGCAAGCUGUGUCAAAAUGGAAAUGUAUUAUACAAAUUAUUGAAGUGUUAAGUCAUGCAGUAUGUAUGCUGUCCAAAAUAUUAAAGGGUCAGAAAACUGUAGGAUACAAAUAUAUAGCUUCCAAACUUAUAAGUUUCCAUAUCUCUUACCAGCCUUUUACAGCCCUAAAGUCCUGAAUCCACGUGCCAGGUGCCACUCCAGUGUAACAGGUCUACUUUGCUGCACACAGUCCAGCUUCCAUGGAAAGACAAGUCAGCAUCACCUUCUAGCCAGCUUCCCUUUCUUCACACAGCACAGUAGACAAACAGAAGACAAAAGGAUUGCAGAGCCGUGGCAAUUUUUAUAUGCGCUGUCCAAAUGUCACCCACUGCAAUAGAUAUAACAUCACCAAAAAAAUGUUGGUUACUAGAAGAGGAGAUCUGGACACUGGAGUUUAAAUCAGGCUGAGCGAUGACUAGCAAGGCAUGAGGACAACCUGAAGAGCUUCUUGCUGCUGUGCACUUGUUCUCAAGACUGAAAUUCCUUCUCUGCUUUUCCUCUGGGUAAUAAAUAUGUAAAUACAACCUGGUGGCAGAAGUAGAGAGUGUGGGAAUUAAAUGAGACUCAUGGUGAGUGCUGAAGGAGCUGGUUACAGAGCAGCCAGGCUAUGCUAAAUAACCUUUGCUCUCCCUGGAUAUGGUCUGCUGCAGAACACUUUCUGAUAGAAACCUACUAAAACAGUAUGUGCAGCCACGGCUUCAUUCCUAAUGUCCCAGCAUAGAUCAAAAAGAAGGAUUCAACUAAGUCAAUGAUGGAGAAAAACUAAUUUCAUGGUAAAAUAAUUCUAAAAUAUAUUUAAGGUACAUUGGCGAGGCUACUUUAAAGGGAAUCUGCAUUACAAAACAUGUAAGAGAAUUGAAGACUAUAUUCUCAUGUUCUUCUGCUGCUAAAAAAAUAGUUAUUCUUUAUCACUUUCUGACUACAGUAUUUUAUGUAAACAAUUUUCUGAGAAGACUUCUUUCUUUCUUCACAGUUUUGGUUUGGGUUUUAUUUUUUAGACAGAA